This is a small nucleolar RNA of Cavia porcellus (domestic guinea pig), 133 nucleotides long. Ensembl annotates it as small nucleolar RNA SNORA1. NCBI's taxonomy places the organism in Eukaryota, Metazoa, Chordata, Mammalia, Rodentia, Caviidae. The record is from Ensembl.
AGCUUCAUUCUGGAUUAGAAUGGGCACUGUUGAUUGGUGUCAAAAAUUGGUCCAUGUGGCUGAAAUUGAGACACAGGUCAUUCUUUCAUCACAAUAAAUGUUUGCAGUGGUGACAGUGAGACCUGUAACAUUU